RNAcentral lists this ribosomal RNA (637 nucleotides) under uncultured archaeon. RNAcentral's name for it is "bacterial SSU rRNA". It matches the Rfam family "Archaeal small subunit ribosomal RNA", at positions 220 to 859 of the family's 1478-position model. The record is from RNAcentral.
GCCGAUCAGGCUGUUGGUGAGGUAAUGGCCCACCAAACCUAAAACCGGUACGGGCUCUGAGAGGAGAAGCCCGGAGAUGGGCACUGAGACAAGGGCCCAGGCCCUAUGGGGCGCAGCAGGCGCGAAAACUCUGCAAUAAGCGAAAGCUUGACAGGGUUAUUCUGAGUGAUUUCCGCUAAGGAAAUCUUUUGGCACCUCUAAAAAUGGUGCAGAAUAAGGGGUGGGCAAGCCUGGUGUCAGCCGCCGCGGUAAUACCAGCACCCCGAGUGGUCGGGACGAUUAUUGGGCCUAAAGCAUCCGUAGCCGGUUCUACAAGUCUUCCGUUAAAUCCACCUGCUUAACAGAUGGGCUGCGGAGGAUACUAUGGAGCUAGGAGGCGGGAGAGGCAAGCGGUACUUAGUGGGUAGGGGUAAAAUCCGUUGAUCCAUUGAAGACCACCAGUGGCGAAGGCGGCUUGCCAGAACGCACUCGACGGUGAGGGAUGAAAGCUGGGGGAGCAAACCGGAUUAGAUACCCGGGUAGUCCCAGCUGUAAACGAUGCAGACUCGGUGAUGAAUAGGCUUCGUGCCUAUUCAGUGCCGCAGGGAAGCCGUUAAGUCUGCCGCCUGGGGAGUACGGUCGCAAGACUGAAGCUUAA